Oncorhynchus mykiss (rainbow trout) is the source of this 109-nucleotide small nuclear RNA. Its record names the gene U2. It matches the Rfam family "U2 spliceosomal RNA". From Rfam's summary of the family: U2 is a small nuclear RNA (snRNA) component of the spliceosome (involved in pre-mRNA splicing). Complementary binding between U2 snRNA (in an area lying towards the 5' end but 3' to hairpin I) and the branchpoint sequence (BPS) of the intron results the bulging out of an unpaired adenosine, on the BPS, which initiates a nucleophilic attack at the intronic 5' splice site, thus starting the first of two transesterification reactions that mediate splicing. The record is from Ensembl. Lineage: Eukaryota; Metazoa; Chordata; Actinopteri; Salmoniformes; Salmonidae.
ACCAUUUUUCCAAAAUAAAAUAAAUCUGUUCUUAUCAGUUUAAUAUCUGAUAUGUCCUCUAUCUGGGGACAAUAUAUGAAAUGGAUUUUUCCACGGUCAAGUAGGUUAU